RNAcentral lists this ribosomal RNA (463 nucleotides) under uncultured bacterium. RNAcentral describes it as "partial 16S ribosomal RNA". It matches the Rfam family "Bacterial small subunit ribosomal RNA", at positions 339 to 795 of the family's 1533-position model. The record is from RNAcentral.
CUACGGGGGGCUGCAGUGGGGAAUAUUGCACAAUGGGCGCAAGCCUGAUGCAGCCAUGCCGCGUGUAUGAAGAAGGCCUUCGGGUUGUAAAGUACUUUCAGCGGGGAGGAAGGGAGUAAAGUUAAUACCUUUGCUCAUUGACGUUACCCGCAGAAGAAGCACCGGCUAACUCCGUGCCAGCAGCCGCGGUAAUACGGAGGGUGCAAGCGUUAAUCGGAAUUACUGGGCGUAAAGCGCACGCAGGCGGUUUGUUAAGUCAGAUGUGAAAUCCCCGGGCUCAACCUGGGAACUGCAUCUGAUACUGGCAAGCUUGAGUCUCGUAGAGGGGGGUAGAAUUCCAGGUGUAGCGGUGAAUGCGUAGAGAUCUGGAGGAAUUCCGGUGGCGAAGGCGGCCCCCUGGACGAAGACUGACGCUCAGGUGCGAAAGCGUGGGGAGCAAACAGGAUUAGAUACCCUAGUAGUC